AGAGUUUGAUCAUGGCUCAGGAUGAACGCUGGCGGCGUGCCUAAUACAUGCAAGUCGAACGCUUUGUCUUUAAUUGAUCUGACGAGCUUGCUCUAAUUUGAUUUUAUCUGACAAAGAGUGGCGAACGGGUGAGUAACACGUGGGUAACCUACCUCUUAGCAGGGGAUAACAUUUGGAAACAAGUGCUAAUACCGUAUAAUACCAACAACCGCAUGGUUGUUGGUUGAAAGAUGGUUCUGCUAUCACUAAGAGAUGGACCCGCGGUGCAUUAGCUAGUUGGUAAGGUAACGGCUUACCAAGGCAAUGAUGCAUAGCCGAGUUGAGAGACUGAUCGGCCACAAUGGGACUGAGACACGGCCCAUACUCCUACGGGAGGCAGCAGUAGGGAAUCUUCCACAAUGGGCGCAAGCCUGAUGGAGCAACGCCGCGUGUGUGAUGAAGGGUUUCGGCUCGUAAAACACUGUUAUAAGAGAAGAACGGCACUGAGAGUAACUGUUCAGUGUGUGACGGUAUCUUACCAGAAAGGAACGGCUAAAUACGUGCCAGCAGCCGCGGUAAUACGUAUGUUCCAAGCGUUAUCCGGAUUUAUUGGGCGUAAAGCGAACGCAGACAGUUAUUUAAGUCUGAAGUGAAAGCCCUCAGCUCAACUGAGGAAUGGCUUUGGAAACUGGAUGACUUGAGUGCAGUAGAGGAAAGUGGAACUCCAUGUGUAGCGGUGAAAUGCGUAGAUAUAUGGAAGAACACCAGUGGCGAAGGCGGCUUUCUGGACUGUAACUGACGUUGAGGCUCGAAAGUGUGGGUAGCAAACAGGAUUAGAUACCCUGGUAGUCCACACCGUAAACGAUGAGUGCUAGAUGUUCGAGGGUUUCCGCCCUUGAGUGUCGCAGCU
RNAcentral lists this ribosomal RNA (889 nucleotides) under uncultured bacterium. Its description in RNAcentral is "bacterial SSU rRNA". It matches the Rfam family "Bacterial small subunit ribosomal RNA", at positions 8 to 853 of the family's 1533-position model. The record is from RNAcentral.